CACGCCUUAAACGAUGAGUGCUAGACGUCGGAUGCUUGUCAUUCGGUGUCGCAGCUAACGCGUUAAGCACUCCGCCUGGGGAGUACGGUCGCAAGAUUAAAACUCAAAGGAAUUGACGGGGACCCGCACAAGCGGUGGAGCAUGUGGUUUAAUUCGAAGCAACGCGCAGAACCUUACCAACCCUUGACAUGGGGAUCGAGGAUUUCAGAGAUGAUUUCCGUCAGUUCGGCUGGAUCCCGCACAGGUGC
RNAcentral lists this ribosomal RNA (248 nucleotides) under uncultured bacterium. RNAcentral's name for it is "partial 16S ribosomal RNA". It matches the Rfam family "Bacterial small subunit ribosomal RNA", at positions 796 to 1041 of the family's 1533-position model. The record is from RNAcentral.